This 934-nucleotide ribosomal RNA is filed under the name Graphis angustata. RNAcentral describes it as "LSU rRNA". It matches the Rfam family "Eukaryotic large subunit ribosomal RNA", at positions 143 to 1099 of the family's 3401-position model. The record is from RNAcentral. Lineage: Eukaryota; Fungi; Ascomycota; Lecanoromycetes; Ostropales; Graphidaceae.
UUGUAAUUUGUAGAAGGUGCCUCGGGAGCGACGACGGUGCAAGUUUCCUGGAACGGAGCGUCGAAGAGGGUGAGAAUCCCGUCUGUCGCCGAACGUCAAACCCGCGUGAGGCCCUUUCGAAGAGUCGAGUUGUUUGGGAAUGCAGCUCUAAGACGGUGGUAAGUUCCAUCUAAAGCUAAAUAUCCGCCAGAAACCGAUAGCGCACAAGUAGAGUGAUCGAAAGAUGAAAAGCACUUUGAAAAGAGAGUUAAACAGUACGUGAAAUUGUUGAAAGGGAAGCGCUUGCAACCAGACUCGUCCGCGCGUGCUCAGCCGCCCCUCGGUGCGGUGUACUCUCGUGCGGACGGGCCAGCAUCGGUUUCGGCGGCCGGACAAAGGCCCUGGGAACGUAGCUCCCUUCGGGGAGUGUUAUAGCCCGGGGUGUAAUGCGGCCAGCCGGGACCGAGGAUCGCGCUCUCGCUAGGAUGCUGGCGUAAUGGUUGCCAGCGACCCGUCUUGAAACACGGACCAAGGAGUCGACCAAACGCGCGAGUGUUUGGGUGUAAAGCCCACGACGCGCAAUGAAAGUGAACGUAGGUGGGAGCUUCGGCGCACCAUCGACCGAUCUUGAUGUCUUCGGAUGGAUUUGAGUACGAGCGCGCUUGGUCGGACCCGAAAGUCAGUGAUCUAUGCAUGAAUAGGGUGAAGCCAGAGGAAACUCUGGUGGAGGCUCGCAGCGGUUCUGACGUGCAAAUCGAUCGUCAAAUUUGUGCAUAGGGGCGAAAGACUAAUCGAACUGACUAGUAGCUGGUUCCUGUCGAAGUUUCCCUCAGGAUAGCAGCAACGAGCAACAGUCUCAUGAGGUAGAGCGAACGAUUAGAGGACUGGGGGACGUAACGUCCUUCACGKAUUCUCGAACUUCGAAUACGUGAGAAGUCCUUGUUACUUAAUUGAA